Molecule: microRNA, 21 nt
Filed under: Callithrix jacchus (white-tufted-ear marmoset)
Lineage: Eukaryota; Metazoa; Chordata; Mammalia; Primates; Cebidae
Also listed under: 3 other names
Description: cja-miR-622
Gene: cja-miR-622
Source: miRBase by way of RNAcentral
ACAGUCUGCUGAGGUUGGAGC